GCUGGGCAUAGUGAUGCACACCUGUAAUCCCAGGGGCUUGGGAGGCUGAGGCAGGAGGAUCGCAAGUUCAAAGCCAGCCUCAGCUAAAGUGAGGUGCUAAGUAACUUGGUGAGACCCUGUCUCUA
RNAcentral lists this small RNA (125 nucleotides) under Marmota monax (woodchuck). The record is from RNAcentral. Lineage: Eukaryota; Metazoa; Chordata; Mammalia; Rodentia; Sciuridae.